Anguilla rostrata (American eel) is the source of this 2874-nucleotide long non-coding RNA. RefSeq lists it as uncharacterized. The transcript has 3 exons. The record is from RefSeq and is a predicted model, not a curated record. Lineage: Eukaryota; Metazoa; Chordata; Actinopteri; Anguilliformes; Anguillidae.
UGUCCUGGAGGGAUAAACACCAAUCAGCAGAAGGCACGAGUAGAGCCCACCCUCGCCUGUGUCUUACCUUAUGCAUCUGACAGGUUCCACUGAGCCUGUCAAUGUGGAGACCCGUUAACUAACGUACAGUUCACCUUGACAAAACAGGAAUUCUCAGAGCCUUUUCACUUUACCCCCUUGGCCAAAUAAUUUCCUUUCGAGCUCUUAGGUGCAUGAGGUUUGAAAAAUGUCCCUGCUUUACUGGGAAAAUGAUAGCUGUUGUAAUAGGGUGGAUCCAGCUUUACAGUGCAUACCUGGUGUGAAAACAAAUGUUGUCUCAGCACUAAUCCACAGACAGCUAACCUGAAGAAAUCCACACUGUAAUUGCGACUCUUACUUUAUUUUUCUGUUUUGGUCUUACCAAUUCCCAAAUAAUGUGUCAUGUGUGGUCUUAGACAUUUUUCCUCUGUAUUUGCACACAUGGCUUAUAGCUUAUCUCAUGGGGGGUAGAAAAAAUCAUAAUAAUUGAAAGCUUUCUUCAAUAUACACACUCAAAUGCAUUCAGAAAUACCAACUAACAUAUGGUUCUAUAUGAAAUACUGAAAAUUGAUCUGAAGUUCCAAAAUUUGAAAUGAAGAAGCAACGGUAUUGAUGAAAACCAAUCGCUCUGAUACUCUGAGUGUGUUUUGUUUGGCUGAACUCUAGCACAAGCCACAGGGCUGUCUUGCUCUGAGGAAAGCCGACGUUUACAUUCCGGAUCACAUGUCAAGCGUCUGGACCGGAGACGACCGUAAAAUCCCCCUCAAACCCCUGCGUCUGCUAUCUGAGGAGUCCCCGGGGGAGCCUCUUCCACCGCCCUGCGAUGAGCGCCAUUCCUUCCAGUCUCCCAAUCAAUCAGAGGAUUCAAGGGCCUGAGAGCUCCUGGCCUUCUGGACAAGAGGAGUUGGGCUGGAUACGAAUUGGUGAGGGGGGACUCCAGGGAGGGCUCCAGCUGGCAGAACCCCCGCCACCACCAGCACCGCACAGCCUGCCUGCUUGCCGCCUCCAUCAGAGCCUCCAUCUGUACCCAGACUGUGGAGGAGUGUGUGGGUUGAUGAGGGCAGCUGCCGGCACGGGAUGCAAUGUGAUGCUCUUCGCAAGACGAGACUGGUGUUCUGGGAAGUCGUUAUUUACUGGAAGUGAAAACGCCCAAUGUAUUCUAAGGAAUGGAUACAACAUAUGUUUUAAAUAUAUUUUCACUGGAUAAGCAGUUGUAGACUUUUUCCAAAUUGUUUUUAAAGCUGUUAAUGGCUCCUGAGUGCACAAUGAAAUAGCAGAGCUAUCAAUCAUAAGUUCUUUACAUGCAAUUUAGGAUCUGGGUACAAAAAGAGAAAAGGCCUAUGUGUGCACGUGUAUUUGUUUUUCUAUUUGCGCGUUUGCAUGUUUCUAUAUACAUGCGUAUGUUUUUAUGUGCAUGUGCAUUAGCUCCCCUCCCCCACCCUUGUGGUGAUUAUCUCUGCUCCUAAUUAAUGCUUGGCAUUGAAACAUGGUUGAGAGCCUGCUUGCUGUUUUGUGCCCUCAUUUAUAAAGCAGAGAAUUCUGUUCAUUUUGACCACCCAUUCUCCCUCUUUCUCUCUCUCUCUGCCAUACACAUACACACACGUAUACGUACACAUGCAUGCAUGAAAGGCACGCUCACAAACACACACAUGGAUGCAUACACAUACAUGCAGGAUAGGCACAAACACACACACACACAGAGGCAGAAUGAAAAUAAAAAUAGGCUCUUCAUGCUGAAUCUGUGAAUCUACAGUACAAAGAAUGGGAAAAAUGAGACUGAUCAAAACUGAAGCACAACAAACAAGGUGAACAAGGGUGCUUAAUGAGCAGAAUUUUUAAUAGUUCCUGUAUAAAAUUUGCUCUUUAAAUAGUGAUAUUUAAAUAAAGGUCAGCAGAGCAGCCUUACAGUAUAAUAUCAUUUCAAGAUCUUAUGAAUUAAUAUCCCUUUUAGUUGUCAUCACCUUUUGUUUCUUCACAGUUGAUUUCAAAUCAGCUUGUGUGCCAUCGUACAUUUGCUCACCAUCUCCAUUAAAACAAAGGGCAUAUGGCAGAGUAACUUCUGGCACAGGCAGAUUGGAGAAGCUUCCCGUAUAGUUCUCUUUACACUCAAUUGUGCUGUCUGUCCCCAUGUACUUAAACUCAUUAUGUAUAAAAUGCUCAACCUCUCCACAUGUAGGAUUCAAUAAUGUAUGUACAGCAAACACCAGGAAUGGUGAGACUGUAUCUAUCUGUAUCUAUCCAACAAGCAUAUGAUCUAAUCUAUGUCAGAGGUCUUAUCUUGACUGAAACCACAUUAUCAGUUUGCUUUCCUGUUAAAAGAUGAAUAUACUGCCUUAUAUUGUAAAUAUUGUAUGUGGACUUUCUAGAAAAUAGUGAUGAUAUACUACACAGUAGUGUAAUAUAUUGCAAUAUGUAAUACAUUUGUAACACGUAUUUCCAAUACAGUAGGGACCAAAAGUCUGAGGACAUCAUUUAUACUUCUUAUUGUUGUCCUGGUUGUUUUUAUCAAGGAAUGAGGCAUCAAGUAACACCAACAGAUCAUUUUUGGGAACCAUUGAGAAAGUGCUGGGAUGUGUAAGUUGUGUAAGUCGUACUGGAUAAGAGCGUCUGCUAAAUGCCUGUAAUAUAAUGAAAUGGAAGAUGAGGUGUUGCAUAAGCUGGUGGAAUCAAUGCCAAGUGAAAGUGGUAAUGAAAAUGAAAGGUGAACAAAGUACUAACAUUUUUUGACCUUCAAUAAAUACCCACAUACUUUUUUGACAUUAUUAAAUUAACGUGUUCUUCGAUAGAGAACCAUAGCAUAGCAUUGUAAUUGUAUCAGCCAUUGAUAAAUAAUAAAAACAAUCAGUUCUUGGUAGA